Molecule: ribosomal RNA, 233 nt
Filed under: uncultured bacterium
Lineage: Bacteria
Description: partial 16S ribosomal RNA
Rfam family: Bacterial small subunit ribosomal RNA
Source: RNAcentral
CGGGUGAGUAACACGUAUCCAACCUGCCGUCUACUCUUGGCCAGCCUUCUGAAAGGAAGAUUAAUCCAGGAUGGGAUCAUGAGUUCACAUGUCCGCAUGAUUAAAGGUAUUUUCCGGUAGACGAUGGGGAUGCGUUCCAUUAGAUAGUAGGCGGGGUAACGGCCCACCUAGUCAGCGAUGGAUAGGGGUUCUGAGAGGAAGGUCCCCCACAUUGGAACUGAGACACGGUCCAA